Long non-coding RNA from Salmo trutta (river trout), 5062 nucleotides. Ensembl lists it as uncharacterized. NCBI's taxonomy places the organism in Eukaryota, Metazoa, Chordata, Actinopteri, Salmoniformes, Salmonidae. The record is from Ensembl.
AUGUUCGACAUGUAUACUCCGCUUCUGAUUCUGUGCUACAUGCCUAUUUUGAAAGUUGUAGGGUCCAUCAUGUCGGAGGACUCAACAGUGAUCCAGUAUCCACCUGUUGUUGAGGAGGUAGUUGGCGGCAACAUCACCAUGAACUGCAUUCUGGAGGGGUUGACUUCUUACUGUUAUACUGUCGCCUGGAUAAGACUGCCCAAACAACCCGGGGCGCUGCGAUUCCCCAAGAAAGCCGUUAUCAACACCAGAUCUGAGUAUGAAAUCUUCAACAAUAUAUGCCCAGUGUCCAUUUACAACGUAUCUGUCACCGACUCUGGGAUUUACUACUGUGCUGUCAUAUAUGGCCAGCAGAUCUACUUAGGCAAUGGCACCACAGUGAUUGUUAAAGAUGAAACCAAAGCUCCUCUAACCAUCGAAAUCCUGAAACCGCAGAACAGCUACCAUUCCUCUGUCUCUCUGCUGUGUUUAGUGUCAGGAGUGGUCCCGUCUCAGGUCCACGUGUUCUGGCUCAUAGACGGGAGAGAGGACAGUGGACUUACUGAGUCCACCUGGACAGACAACAGUAAUUCAGCCACAGAGUUCACUAGGAACCAGAUUCUGGUCAAAGCAGAGGAGUGGGACAGAGGAGCAGAAUGCACGUGUGUGGUAGAGUUCGAAGGGCAGUAUAUCAACAAAACCGUGCAACACAAUGACUUCUCCACGAUGUGUUACACCAUAGUGAGUCUCUACAGGGUUCUGGGAAUAGUGUCCGCUCUUCUUCUUCUCCUUACACUGGCUGCACGGGUACAACUAUCAGGCAAGAGCAACAAUUCAGGCAAGCGUAAGAAAACCAACAGAAACCCCCCAAACUAAAGAAGAGGAGGGCUUUGGGAUUCUGUCUUCAUUGUGAAAACUGCAGGAAACCAACAUUCAGAAUUUGAGUGCUUUGAGCGAAUCACAGUGCUUCAUACCAACUAGGAAGACGUUAAGUAUGUAGUACAUUUUCACUGGGCGUCGAAAGGCUAUACAAUAUUUUUGUGUGACUUCUUUUCAAUAUUUUUCCUAUUCACUUUGCUUUUGAUUUCAUUGCAUGUCAGAUAAGCAAUAUGCAGAAAAAAUAAAAUGUGUUAGAAUAGCCUAAUGCUUCCAUAAAGUGAUAUCCUUAAAGUACUGUAGUGGUGAAAUGUGAUUUUUUUCUCAUCUAGUGGCACAGUCAUCUUGUGUCACCAUCUCAAAACAUCCAGUAGAUAUCAGUGUUUACUCAAUCUACGAUCUACCCUUCCUCUCACUUGUGAAUGGCGCAGAAGGAGAUGGCUGCCAUUUUAUAAUCCCGUAACCAAUUGUGCUAUUGUGUAUGCUUUUUUUAGCUAUUUGUAACUUUUUAAAAGGUAAGCAUUUCACUGUAAGGUCUACACCUGUUGUAUUCGGCGCAUGUGACAAAUACAAUUUGAUUUGAGAUAGGCUGGAGCCUAUCUUUUUUAAACUAUUCUAAAACAUCAGGUAGGAAACUCCAUUAACCAAGUUAUCUGCAUCAACAUUAAAACAAACUAGCCAUCAUUUUUUACAAAAUUAUUAUUGCUGUGAUGGGUCUACAUUGCUUUAUGCUGUAUCAUAGUGUAAAUGUUUAAUUGUGUUUUUUACAGUUUACUAAAAUCAGUGUAACUUUUUAUUUAACAAAAAUGACUACUGUACUUUGUAUUGAGAGUAUUAACAUUUCAUUACCUAAAUUGUAAUACUUUUGUUCAGUCUUGCCAUUACUUACCAUGACUUAAUCCAAACACAUAAUUUUCAUUAAUUAGCAAGGGUGCUUUAUUUUCCAUUCAGGACUAAGCAGGAGCAUAACUAUUUUCCAGCCCUUUAAAAUAAUGUUGUUGUGGAAAAUGAACUGUUACAAUAAUAACAGUACAUUCCAUCUAUUGUCUGAGUUUCAUUGAUAUCGUAAAAGCUGCUGAGGUUAGGUUAAGUGAUAGCUGAUAGCAUAUAACGAAAGUAAAAAGGUUCAUCUCUCAUAAUGUGCUAUUGGGUGAAAAAAAGCCUGCAAAUAGAAUUUGCUAGUGGUUUGUUAUAAGCAAGGAACAGAUUUGACCAAAGCUGUGUCUGCCCAUAGGCAUAUCAUACUGAGAAUACCACACCUCGCAGAGAGAGCGAGAGACAGACUGAGUGUGUGUGUGCAGGAGAGCGUUAGGCAGCUAAAGUUUAAGCUAUUGUGGUAUGGUGGUCAGCUUCUGUUCUAAAGGCUACAGUCCUGCACCUGUCACACUUUCUCAUAUGUUACACAAUCUGAAGUCUGUGCAGGAUCAAACAACUCACAAAAACAGUGAGCCUUCUCAUUUUGGUCAGAGAAACGAGCUGUACAGAGUUCGUCAAAGUGCCUUUCAGAUUGAGAAUUUGAAUGUAUUUUUUUAGCAUUCAAGCAAAGUUUUUAAACAUGUGUUCAAAAAAACAUAGGCAGUGUUGGCACCAACAGAUCCAGGAAAAUUGGAAAUAAGAUAAGAGGUAAUUGAAGAGGUAAUAAAAUGAAAACAAAGAAAAAACCAAGUCAUUCAUUUACAAAUAAUCCCUGAGAGUGACACAGGAUAGCUAAGACCAUUUAUUUCCAAUGUGGUCCUCAGUGUAGGACAAAACCAGGACAAGAUACAAAUCUGUUGUUCUGCCCCUGAACAAGGCAGUUAACCCACUGUUCCUAGGCCGUCAUUGAAAAUAACAAUUUGUUCUUAACUGACCUAGUUAAAUAAAGGUAAAACAAAAAUAAAAAAUACACAGGAAAACACAUGGGCCUAUAAGCAGCCAACUAGCCUACACCACAAAACAUACAUCAUCAAUAUAAAACUCAAGACUAUUUCAGUACUUUUCCUGUGUAGGCUUGUACACGUUUUCCAAUGGAAGGGCUCUAACCUGACCGUUGAAAACAUUUUAGGACUGGGACAGUUUAAUGACUAUUGGGAGGCUAUUCCAGAGUUGAAUUACAACAUAAAAGAAAGAGCUCUGUGCCGCGCUAUUGGCUCUGGGCACUUUGCAAUUGCGGACACUUGCUCUUGCUUUAUACACAAAUAUAUACAUAAUAAUCUGAAAACUCUUACGCAAUUUCUUCUUCAGAAUAUUAUUGGAUAAUUGUAUUUGGGCGUCUCCCAAGCUGGAUGUGGUCCAAAGUCGCAUACUGGACUUCCUGUGGAACGAUCAACACCAGGGAGUUCAUUAUAGGAGCAUUGUUUCUCAAGGAAUCAGAAAUAGGUAUAGCUGUUGCUUUAAAUUCAAAAAUGCUUUAAUACUUCAUGUGGACUGAAUUGGGGCAGCAAUACUGCAAAUGUAAACCAGGGUCUCAUAUGUGACUAUUCACACCAUAGAAAGGAUAGUCAGUCAAUCUCAAUCAAUACAUUCACAAUGAAGAUAACUGAGUAAUAAUCUAAAACAAUCAUUCUAAGGGUGAGAGUAGGUUUAGCCUCAAUUCAUUAGAGUUUGUUUACAAAUAUAAUCCAUAUAAAAAUGCCACUCUUUAUUUACACAAACCACAAACAGGUAUAUUGCCAAUAAGUACUGUAAUUACACUACACUUACCAAGUAAUACGCCAGUAUGAGACAUGAGAAAUUUUCAGAGCAGUAUGUUCGGAUCAUAACACUACGGCCAGGCACCACACCCGAAUAGGGUAUCCCCCCUUAAUCAUAUCACAAUAAACUUUUACCAGUUGAAUGUGGACACAAAUAAGCGUUUCUGUUUUACAACUUUUCUGAAAUAUUGUAUACAAAUAUGCAAACUAAGUGGUAACUCAUUAAAUAUGCUCAUAUUUGCAUAUCACGCAAAUACAUUUUUCUGGACACUGGAUAAAGUCAGCCUAAAUAUUUUGGUUUCAUUUUGUUAGGACAAUCCAGGACCGGACUUACACACGUCCGAUUGUAGAUAAAUACUUUCUUACAUAUUUCUAUUUGUGAAAUACUAAAGAAAGUGACAUAAAAAGCAUUUUUGGUAGAUUUUUCAGAAGAAAAUGUCAUCUAGAAUUAACAUUUGACAACAUAUUAACAAUCCGGAGAAUACUUCUAAGGAUAACAGGCACAAUUUGGUGAAUGCAGAUGCUUCUGAGGAUGAGAAAAAUGAAUUGGCGGGUAGGAAGAGUCUGACUUUUGGGAAAUGGCAUUUAAAGACAAGGUCACUGAAAUUUAGACUACCAAUUUAGACCCAAUCACCCUCUUGUCCAGUUUGCAAUAUUCUCUGUGAAAUGGGCUUUGAAAUGAUGUGUGAUUCAAUGUAGUGAGCUUUGCAAUUAUGUAUGUAUAUGUCUAUUUAAAAAUGCGGUAGUAUGAUAAAUUAAUAAAAAUAUACAUUUAUCAACUUUUUGACAUUUUUACUUUUUGAAAAUAAUGGACCAAAAUACCAAAAAUUCUCUAAAUUGUAUAUGCAAAAAUGUAAUUUUAGCCUGUGGUGCCUGGCCUUACAGUGUUUUUUCAAUUUGGAUACACUAUGGGCCAGUUCCCCAGACACAUAUUAAGCCUACUUCUGGACUGAAAAACAAUCUCCAUAGAAAAUGUUUUUAAGUCAAAGACUAUUGGCUUAGUCGAUAUCCAGGAUUGGAAACCAACCCCAAGAGUUAAAUUGGGCCGAAAUGGUGAUUUAAAAGUUCUACCUGAGAAAAUCUGAUAGCACGGCAAUGGAUUAUAAAAGUAUGCAAUAUAAAAAAACAUUUGGCACCUUCACCAAAAAUUCUGAACCAAAUACAAUAGCUACUUACCGAGAUGGAUGAUCUAACUGCCUUUCUUGCUUCUCCAAGUCUCCCUGCAAACGUUACAAGUCAGAUCAUGACAAACACCAAUACAGCCAUGACAUCCCCGAUAAACUAGUGUACUUCAAAAUGUUUUGGAAUCCUUCAAUCAACCAACCCUGCAAACUCAGUCAAGAGAUGCUGUGAGAACUAACGGUGUCUCAAAGUGCGCCAAUGGCACCCCAUUUACUUCUCUAUGAAAUAUUUUGAUCUCAUCUCUCACACUCAAAUGUAAAACAGAGUCCCCUAAAAAAUGUCCCAACUCCUCAUUCACAGCAGAAAUUUGGGGAACAAAAAAAAUGUAAGCUCAUUUAUUCAAUCUAUUUCAA